AGUCGAACGCAGUAGCAAUACUGAGUGGCAAACGGGUGAGUAUAAUGUGGGAAUCUGCCUUUUGGUUUGGAAUAACACGGGGAAACUUGUGCUAAUACCGAAUAAGCCCUUACGGGGAAAGUUUUAAUGCCGAAAGAUGAGCCUGCAUUUGAUUAGCUAGUUGGUAAGGUAAAGGCUUACCAAGGCAACGAUCAAUAGCUGUUCUUAGAGGAAGACCAGCCACAUUGGGACUGAGACACGGCCCAGACUCCUACGGGAGGCAGCAGUGGGGAAUCUUGCACAAUGGGGGAAACCCUGAUGCAGCGAUGCCGCGUGAGUGAAGAAGGCCCUUGGGUUGUAAAACUCUUUCGUCGGGGAAGAAAAUGACUGUACCCGAAUAAGAAGGUCCGGCUAACUUCGUGCCAGCAGCCGCGGUAAUACGAAGGGACCUAGCGUAGUUCGGAAUUACUGGGCUUAAAGAGCUCGUAGGUGGUUAAAAAAGUUGAUGGUGAAAUCCCAAGGCUCAACCUUGGAACUGCCAUCAAAACUUUUUAGCUAGAGUGUGACAGAGGUAAGUGGAAUUUCUAGUGUAGAGGUGAAAUUCGUAGAUAUUAGAAAGAACACCAAAUGCGAAGGCAACUUACUGGGUCACUACUGACACUGAGGAGCGAAAGCAUGGGUAGCGAAGAGGAUUAGAUACCCUCGUAGUCCAUGCCGUAAACGAUGUGUGCUAGACGUUGGAAAUAUAUUUUUCAGUGUCGCAGCGAAAGCAUUAAGCACACCGCCUGGGGAGUACGACCGCAAGGUUAAAACUCAAAUGAAUUGACGGGGACCCGCACAAGCAGUGGAGCAUGUGGUUUAAUUCGAAGAUACGCGCAGAACCUUACCAACACUUGACAUGUUCGUCGCGAAACUA
RNAcentral lists this ribosomal RNA (895 nucleotides) under uncultured marine bacterium. RNAcentral's name for it is "bacterial SSU rRNA". It matches the Rfam family "Bacterial small subunit ribosomal RNA", at positions 60 to 1003 of the family's 1533-position model. The record is from RNAcentral.